GAAUAAUUAGCUCAGAGGUAGAGCAUAUGUUUUACAAGCAUUGGGUCAUAGGUUCAAAUCCUAUAUUAUUC
This 71-nucleotide transfer RNA is filed under the name Nitzschia sp. IriIs04. Its description in RNAcentral is "tRNA-Val". It matches the Rfam family "tRNA". Rfam says of the family: Transfer RNA (tRNA) molecules are approximately 80 nucleotides in length. Their secondary structure includes four short double-helical elements and three loops (D, anti-codon, and T loops). The record is from RNAcentral. Lineage: Eukaryota; Bacillariophyta; Bacillariophyceae; Bacillariales; Bacillariaceae.